RNAcentral lists this ribosomal RNA (312 nucleotides) under uncultured bacterium. RNAcentral describes it as "bacterial SSU rRNA". It matches the Rfam family "Bacterial small subunit ribosomal RNA", at positions 28 to 322 of the family's 1533-position model. The record is from RNAcentral.
GACGAACGCUGGCGGCGUGCCUAACACAUGCAAGUCGAACGGAACUUCUUUAAAGGAUUUCUUCGGAAUGAAUUUGAUUAAGUUUAGUGGCGGACGGGUGAGUAACGCGUGAGUAACCUGCCUCUAAGAGGGGAAUAGCAUUCUGAAAAGAAUGCUAAUACCGCAUAAUAUAUAUUUAUCGCAUGGUAGAUAUAUCAAAGAUUUAUCGCUUAGAGAUGGACUCGCGUCCGAUUAGUUAGUUGUGAGGUAACGGCUCACCAAGACCGCGAUCGGUAGCCGGACUGAGAGGUUGAACGGCCACAUUGGGACUGA